This 254-nucleotide ribosomal RNA is filed under the name uncultured bacterium. RNAcentral describes it as "partial 16S ribosomal RNA". It matches the Rfam family "Bacterial small subunit ribosomal RNA", at positions 524 to 776 of the family's 1533-position model. The record is from RNAcentral.
UACGGGGGGAGCAAGCGUUGUUCGGAUUUACUGGGCGUAAAGGGCGCGUAGGCGGCCAGCACAAGUCAGUUGUGAAAUCUCCGAGCUUAACUCGGAACGGUCAACUGAUACUGUGCGGCUAGAGUGCGGAAGGGGCAACUGGAAUUCUUGGUGUAGCGGUGAAAUGCGUAGAUAUCAAGAGGAACACCGGUGGCGAAGGCGGCGUCCUGGACCAACACUGACACUGAUGAGCGAAAGCCAGGGGAGCAAACAGG